This 226-nucleotide non-coding RNA is filed under the name Clostridiales bacterium. RNAcentral's name for it is "T-box sequence". It matches the Rfam family "T-box leader". Rfam says of the family: Uncharged tRNA acts as the effector for transcription antitermination of genes in the T-box leader family. T-boxes are found upstream of many aminoacyl-tRNA synthetase genes and some amino acid biosynthetic genes usually in Gram-positive bacteria. Lineage: Bacteria; Bacillati; Bacillota; Clostridia; Eubacteriales. The record is from RNAcentral.
UUAAAAGCAUUGAAGGGAAGAGUAAUCUCUGAGUUAUUCCAAAGAGAGCCGGGGUAGGUGAAAACCGGUGUUUAUGAAAGAGAUGAAAAUGGUCUCGGAGUUUCGUGCCUGAAGGUGAUUAGGGCAUGGCGUCUGGUCCGCGUUAAGGAUGGGUUUAAAACCUUAAGGUGGAUUUCGUGAGGAAUCCAUGAAAUAGAGUGGUAACACGGAUAACUUCGUCUCUUAU